GCUACGGGGGGCUGCAGUCGAGAAUCAUUCACAAUGGGGGAAACCCUGAUGGUGCGACGCCGCGUGGGGGAAUGAAGGUCUGCGGAUUGUAAACCCCUGUCAUGGGGGAGCAAAUUAAAAAGAUAGUACCACAAGAGGAAGAGACGGCUAACGCGGUGCCAGCAGCCGCGGUAAUACAGAGGUCUCAAGCGUUGUUCGGAACCACUGGGCGUAAAAAGUGCGUAGGCUGUUUCGUAAGUCGUGGGUGAAAGGAGCGGGCUCAAGCCGCGGACGGCACAUGAUACUGCGAGAAUAGAGUAAUGGAGAGGGCACCGGAAUUCUCGGUGUCGCCGUGAAAUGCGUAGAUCUCGUGAGGAACACUCGUGGCGAAGGCGGGUUCCUGGACAUUAACUGCCGCUGAGGCACGAAGGCCCGGGGAGCGAAAUGGAUUAGCUACCCCAGUAGUC
Molecule: ribosomal RNA, 446 nt
Filed under: uncultured bacterium
Lineage: Bacteria
Description: partial 16S ribosomal RNA
Rfam family: Bacterial small subunit ribosomal RNA
Source: RNAcentral